AUAAUGGUGUCUUUAGACACCAUCUUCUGUCUUCGAAAUGUUAUUU
Non-coding RNA from Picea glauca (white spruce), 46 nucleotides. NCBI's taxonomy places the organism in Eukaryota, Viridiplantae, Streptophyta, Pinopsida, Pinales, Pinaceae. The record is from Rfam.